AUGGAAUACCGGGUGGAUGCUGCUGUUUGGGGGAAGUUGCAGUCGAUAUGCCAGCGUGCCGAUGCGUUCUGUCACCAAGAAUGGACCGAAGAACUUGUAGGCGAGUUUCUUGCAUGGGUGAUUGGCGACGGAGGACUGUGCAUACGGCUGCAGCUUGAGAAGGACCUGUUCGCCAACAUCGAAGGCUCAUUCCGCUCGGUGUCGAUCUGCUUGUUUCUUGAAGCGAGCUUGGGCACACGCCAGCUGGGCACGCAGCAGGUCAGUGUGAGCAGCCCAGUCCAGAUCGCCAGACGCCGCGUCGCCGGGGAGCGCGGUGCUCAGGUGAGGUAA
This 330-nucleotide ribosomal RNA is filed under the name Triticum aestivum (bread wheat). RNAcentral describes it as "partial small subunit ribosomal RNA". Lineage: Eukaryota; Viridiplantae; Streptophyta; Magnoliopsida; Poales; Poaceae. The record is from RNAcentral.